Molecule: ribosomal RNA, 883 nt
Filed under: Scutigeridae sp. 1 YW-2019
Lineage: Eukaryota; Metazoa; Arthropoda; Chilopoda; Scutigeromorpha; Scutigeridae
Description: partial large subunit ribosomal RNA
Rfam family: Archaeal large subunit ribosomal RNA (bases 639-883)
Source: RNAcentral
GGUUAUAAAUUUGGCUAAUUUGGCGAAUUGUUUUGAGCUAUAAUAAUAAUAUAUUAACGUUUUAAAGUUAAUAGAAAUUUUAUUAUAGAAAUGAAAUGCUAGUCGAAAAAUAGGAUAUCUGGUUACUUAAGAAUAUAAUUUAAUUAUGUGUGCUAUAAGAAUAAAAAAUUUUUAAGGGAUUAGAGUUAAAAAAUUUAAUAUUAUUUCAAUUUCUUAUUAAUUAAAUGCUUAUAAUCAGCAAUUGCUUUAGAGUUAGUUAUAUAACAUAAAAUUUAUAUUAGAAUUUUUUAUUAAUUUAUUUUAUAUUAAGUAAGGACUGUAAUUAUUAAGGUUAAAUAUAAUGUUAAAUAAGUAGAUCAGAAUUAAUUAUAGUGAGAAAAAUGAAAAUAAAAUUUAAGAAUUCGGCAAUAGGUUAUUCGCCUGUUUAUCAAAAACAUUGUUUUUUUGUAAGUGAUAAGAAAUCUGACUGCCCAAUGAGCAUUAAAUGACCGCGGUAUUUUGACCGUGCUAAGGUAGCAUAAUCAUUAGUCUUUUAAUUGUAGACUGGAAUGAAUAGUUGGACGUAAUUACAACUUUUUUAUUUUUAAAUAUCGAAUUUCACUUUUUGGUGAAGAGGCUAAAAUGUAACCAAAAGACAAGAAGACCCUAUCAAAUUUUAUUAUAAGUUAUUGUAGAUGAGAGGUAAAAAUAAAAUAGUUGUUAAUUUUGCUGGGGCGGUGAGUUAAAAACUAAUUAAGAUCCAAAAUUUUUGAUUAAUUGAUUAAAUUACUGUAGGGAUAACAGCGUAAUCUUAUUUAAGAGUUCAUAUCGACAAUAAGGGUUGCAACCUCGAUGUUGGAUUAGAAUACCUUCUUGGAGCAGAAUCUAAGAGUGGUGAUCUGUU